Molecule: ribosomal RNA, 427 nt
Filed under: uncultured bacterium
Lineage: Bacteria
Description: bacterial SSU rRNA
Rfam family: Bacterial small subunit ribosomal RNA
Source: RNAcentral
UAGGGAAUAUUGGACAAUGGGGGCAACCCUGAUCCAGCCAUGCCGCGUGAGUGAAGAAGGCCCUCGGGUUGUAAAGCUCUUUUGUCCGGAAAGAAAAGCAUUUGGUGAAUACCCGGAUGUUCUGACGGUACCGGAAGAAUAAGCACCGGCUAACUUCGUGCCAGCAGCCGCGGUAAUACGAAGGGUGCAAGCGUUACUCGGAAUUACUGGGCGUAAAGCGUGCGUAGGUGGUUGUUUAAGUCUGAUGUGAAAGCCCUGGGCUCAACCUGGGAAUGGCAUUGGAAACUGGGCAGCUAGAGUGCGGUAGAGGGUAGUGGAAUUCCCGGUGUAGCAGUGAAAUGCGUAGAGAUCGGGAGGAACAUCUGUGGCGAAGGCGACUGCCUGGACCAGCACUGACACUGAGGCACGAAAGCGUGGGGAGCAAACA